CCGCUGCUGCCGGACGGUUCGGCGCCGCCGCUGCUGUGGGCCGCGGCCGGGGCGCUGGUCGCGGCGGUGGCGGCGGGC
This 78-nucleotide transfer RNA is filed under the name Streptomyces sp. F-1. RNAcentral describes it as "tRNA-His". Lineage: Bacteria; Bacillati; Actinomycetota; Actinomycetes; Kitasatosporales; Streptomycetaceae. The record is from RNAcentral.